This 504-nucleotide long non-coding RNA is filed under the name Amphimedon queenslandica. RNAcentral describes it as "uncharacterized LOC109587973". Lineage: Eukaryota; Metazoa; Porifera; Demospongiae; Haplosclerida; Niphatidae. The record is from RNAcentral.
AUUAUAUUAAUUGAUAGAUCAGUAAUUAUGUUCAUAAUGAUCCUGCUCCUUUAAUGAGAGGAGUCACCAUUGAUAGUGAGGAUAAACUAAUCAUUGGAAAUGAAAAUGGAGAACUUAUACUACUGGACUUAAGACAUAUCAAGUCACCAUUAAAGACAAUAAGAUGAUCAUCAUCACCAAUAUGUUCACUGUGUUAUAAUAAUAAUAAAGUAUUAGUAGGACACAAGAAUGGGGUGUGCAUUAAUUGGAGUUAUAAUGAUGACACAUUACUCAAUGAUCAUAUAACUGGUACUGAUAUUGAUCCAAUAAGUUCAAUAGUGAGAAGACAUCAUGUGACAUACACUAGUUCUAGGGAUGGACGUGUACGUAUGUAUGAGAACAUUUAAGUUAAUUAUUUAUGUGAUAUUAUAAUUACUAUCAAACAUGUACUAUUGAUUGUGAUUUGUGUUGCUGUUAUUGAUCAAUGCUUUCAUAAAGAAUAUUGCUCAGAUGUGUAGAUUCACA